CAUAUCAAUAAGCGGAGGAAAGAAACCAACAGGGAUUGCCUCAGUAACGGCGAGUGAAGCGGCAACAGCUCAAAUUUGAAAUCUGGCCUCCUCCGGGGGUCCGAGUUGUAAUUUGCAGAGGGUGCUUUGGUGGUGGCGGCGGUCUAAGUUCCCUGGAACAGGACAUCGCAGAGGGUGAGAAUCCCGUACGUGGGCGCCUGCCACCUCCGUGUAAAGCCCCUUCGACGAGUCGAGUUGUUUGGGAAUGCAGCUCUAAAUGGGAGGUAAAUUUCUUCUAAAGCUAAAUACCGGCCAGAGACCGAUAGCGCACAAGUAGAGUGAUCGAAAGAUGAAAAGUACUUUGGAAAGAGAGUAAAAUAGCACGUGAAAUUGUUGUAGAGGAAGCGCUUGCAGCCAGACUUCCCCGUAGUUGCUCACCCGGGCUCUUGCCCGGGGCACUCUUCUGCGGGGAGGCCAGCAUCAGUUUGGGCGGUCGGAGAAAGGCCUCUGUCACGUAUCUCCCUCCGGGGUGACCUUAUAGGGGAGGCGCAAUGCGACCAGCCCGGACUGAGGUCCGCGCAUCUGCCAGGAUGCUGGCGUAAUGGCUGUAAGCGGCCCGUCUUGAAACACGGACCAAGGAGUCUAACAUCUAUGCGAGUGUUUGGGUGUCAAGCCCGGGCGCGCAAUGAAAGUGAACGGAGGUGGGAACCCUCGGGUGCACCAUCGACCGAUCCUGAUGUCUUCGGAUGGAUUUGAGUAAGAGCAUAGCUGUUGGGACCCGAAAGAUGGUGAACUAUGCUUGAAUAGGGUGAAGCCAGAGGAAACUCUGGUGGAGGCUCGCAGCGGUUCUGACGUGCAAAUCGAUCGUCAAAUUUGGGCAUAGG
RNAcentral lists this ribosomal RNA (863 nucleotides) under Spegazzinia tessarthra. RNAcentral's name for it is "partial large subunit ribosomal RNA". It matches the Rfam family "Eukaryotic large subunit ribosomal RNA", at positions 39 to 921 of the family's 3401-position model. Lineage: Eukaryota; Fungi; Ascomycota; Dothideomycetes; Pleosporales; Didymosphaeriaceae. The record is from RNAcentral.